This 1483-nucleotide ribosomal RNA is filed under the name uncultured Bordetella sp. RNAcentral describes it as "partial 16S-23S ribosomal RNA intergenic spacer". It matches the Rfam family "Bacterial small subunit ribosomal RNA". The record is from RNAcentral. Lineage: Bacteria; Pseudomonadati; Pseudomonadota; Betaproteobacteria; Burkholderiales; Alcaligenaceae.
GGUUCGAUUAUGGCUCAGAUGCAUUGAACGCUGGCGGGAUGCUACACAUGCAAGUCCGAACGGCAGCACGGACUUCGGUCUGGUGGCGAGUGGCGAACGGGUGAGUAAUGUAUGAACGUGCCUAGUAGCGGGGGAUAACUACGCGAAAGCGUAAUACCGCAUACGCCCUUCGGGGGAAAGCGGGGACCUUCGGGCCUCCGCACUAUUAAAACGGCCGAUAUCCAGUUAGCUAGUUGAGGUGAGACAACGGCUCACCAAGGCGACGAUCCGUAGCUGGUUUGAGAAGGGACGACGAAAGCCACACUGGGACGAGACCUGGCCCAGACUCCUACGGGAGGCAGCAGUGGGGGUACGGACAAUGGGGGAAACCCUGAUCCAGCCAUCCCGCGUGUGCGAUGAAGGCCUUCGGGUUGUAAAGCACUUUUUUGGCAGGAAAAGAAACGGCACGGGAUAAUACCCCGUGCAACUGACGGUACCUGCAGAAUAAGCACUGACUAACUACGUGCCAGCAGCCGCGGUAUGCGUAGGGUGCAAGCGUUAAUCGGAAUUACUGGGCGUAAAGCGUGCAGGCGGUUCGGAAAAAGUGUGAAAUCCCAGAGCUUAACUUUGGAACUGCAUUUUUAACUACCGAGCUAGAGUGUGUCAGAGGGAGGUGAAUUCCCGCGUGUAGCUGAUGAAAUGCAGUAUACGGAGGAACACCGAUGGCGAAGGCAGCCUCCUGGGAUAACACUGACGCUCAUGCACGAAAGCAUUGGGAACAAACAGGAUUAGAUACCCUGGUGAUCCGCCCUAAACGAUCAUCAACUAGCUGUUGGGGCCUUCGGGCCUUGGUAGCGCAACUAACGCGUGAGGUUGACCGCCUGGGAAGUACGGUCGCAAAGAUUAACUCAAAGGAAUUGACGGGGGACCCGCACAAGCGGUGGAUGAUGUGGAUUAAUUCGAUGCAACGCAAAAACCUUACCUACCCUUGACAUGUGGAAUCCCGAAGAGAUUUGGGAGUGCUCGCAAGAGAACCGGAACACAGGUGCUGCAUGGCUGUCGUCAGCUCGUGUCGUGAAUCAUUGGGUUAAGUCCCGCAACAAACGCAAACCCUUGUCAUUAGAUUGCUACGAAAGGGCACUCUAAUGAGACUGCCGAUAAACAAACCGGAGGAAGGUGGGGAUGACGUCAAGUCCUCAUGGCCCUUAUGGGUAGGGCUUCACACGUCAUACAAUGGUCGGGACAGAGGGUCGCCAACCCGCGAGGGAGCAAUCCAGAAAACCCGAUCAGCAAAGUCCGGAUCGCAGUCUGCAACUCGUGCGUGAAGUCAGAAUCGCUAUCAAUCGCGGAUCAGCAUGUCGCGGUAGAUAUUACGUUCCCGGGUCUUGUACACACCGCCCGUCACACCGUAAAUUAGGUUUUACCAGAAGUAGUUAGCCCUAACCGUAAGGAGGGCGAUUACCACGGUAGGAUUCAUGACUGGGGUGAAGUCGUAACAAGGUAG